This 77-nucleotide transfer RNA is filed under the name Desulfobacteraceae bacterium 4572_87. RNAcentral describes it as "tRNA-Arg". It matches the Rfam family "tRNA". Rfam says of the family: Transfer RNA (tRNA) molecules are approximately 80 nucleotides in length. Their secondary structure includes four short double-helical elements and three loops (D, anti-codon, and T loops). Further hydrogen bonds mediate the characteristic L-shaped molecular structure. tRNAs have two regions of fundamental functional importance: the anti-codon, which is responsible for specific mRNA codon recognition, and the 3' end, to which the tRNAs corresponding amino acid is attached (by aminoacyl-tRNA synthetases). tRNAs cope with the degeneracy of the genetic code in two manners: having more than one tRNA (with a specific anti-codon) for a particular amino acid; and 'wobble' base-pairing, i.e. permitting non-standard base-pairing at the 3rd anti-codon position. Lineage: Bacteria; Pseudomonadati; Thermodesulfobacteriota; Desulfobacteria; Desulfobacterales; Desulfobacteraceae. The record is from RNAcentral. RNAcentral also lists the same sequence under 4 other names.
GCGCCCGUAGCUCAGCUGGAUAGAGCGCCGGGCUUCGAACCCGUAGGCCGCAGGUUCGAGUCCUGCCGGGCGCGCCA